This 566-nucleotide ribosomal RNA is filed under the name uncultured Methanosaeta sp. Its description in RNAcentral is "bacterial SSU rRNA". It matches the Rfam family "Archaeal small subunit ribosomal RNA", at positions 83 to 652 of the family's 1478-position model. The record is from RNAcentral. Lineage: Archaea; Methanobacteriati; Methanobacteriota; Methanomicrobia; Methanotrichales; Methanotrichaceae.
CGGCUCAGUAACACGUGGACAACCUACCCUUGGGACGGGGGUAAACCCGGGAAACUGGGUAUAAUACCCGAUAGUCCUCGACUGCUGGAAUGCAUCGAGGUCGAAAGCUCCGGUGCCCAAGGAUGGGUCUGCGGCCUAUCAGGUAGUAGUGGGUGUAGCGUACCUACUAGCCUACGACGGGUACGGGUUGUGAGAGCAAGAGCCCGGAGAUGGAUUCUGAGACACGAAUCCAGGCCCUACGGGGUGCAGCAGGCGCGAAAACUUUACAAUGCUGGAAACAGCGAUAAGGGAACCUCGAGUGCCAGGUUACAAAUCUGGCUGUCGUGAUGCCUAAAAAAGCAUUGCAUAGCAAGGGCCGGGCAAGACCGGUGCCAGCCGCCGCGGUAACACCGGCGGCUCGAGUGGUAACCGUUAUUAUUGGGUCUAAAGGGUCUGUAGCCGGCCGGAUAAGUCUCUUGGGAAAUCUGGCAGCUUAACUGUCAGGCUUUCAGGAGAUACUGUCUGGCUCGAGGCCGGGAGAGGUGAGAGGUACUUCAGGGGUAGGGGUGAAAUCUUGUAAUCCUUGA